AAAAAAACCCCCAUUCAAGGAUCUCUGAAUGACAUAACACAUGAGAUUCUCGUCUGCACAAGGCUUUCCCAUCCUCACAUAGCCAGGGUGAUGGCUGUUUCUAAGACUGAUAGAGCAAUUCUCAUUGCAAAUGAAUACAUCCAUGGAGCAAGUUUAGAGAAAGUGCUUCAUGGAGAUGAUGCCAAUUUCAAGUUGAAUGAAGAAGAGCAAUGCUACAUUGGACUGGAAGUAGCUCUUGCUGUUGAGUACAUUCAUUCAAAGAAUAUAAUACAUCAGGAUAUCAAACCAGCAAAUA
Molecule: long non-coding RNA, 295 nt
Organism: Acipenser ruthenus (sterlet)
Lineage: Eukaryota; Metazoa; Chordata; Actinopteri; Acipenseriformes; Acipenseridae
Exons: 3
Source: RefSeq, a predicted model, not a curated record